ACUACAGGGCAAACUGUAGAGAGUUGCUCUCUAAUUGACAUUGAAUCCCAAGCUCUGUGUAUUCUGUGUAUUCUUUCAGUAGAGAUCCUUGAGGAAGCUGUGGUGCCUACUACAGGAGAUGGCAACCCCAUGUGAAGGCUGCUGCUUGGUCCCAGGAGCCGUAUGGCUGCUGGCAGCGAGACGUGGAAUCCAGGCAUGCUGCUGACACAGGAAACCAAACUGAAUUCCAAGAAGAGAAACAGCUCAAGCUCAUCACAAUAAAUUUCCUUUUCUUUCCAAGAAGGGAUAGUAAUUGCAGACGCUCAUACCAUCUAUAAGACUGUCAAGUGGGGUGUUUUUAACCAUAUUAUCUUACCCACUGCUGCAUGGGACUGCAUCUCAACUUUCAUCUAUUCAAUGUUCCUCUCAAUAAAAUCAAAUAUCUCUGAAUC
This 431-nucleotide long non-coding RNA is filed under the name Zonotrichia albicollis (white-throated sparrow). Its description in RNAcentral is "lncRNA (ENSZALG00000000371.1)". Lineage: Eukaryota; Metazoa; Chordata; Aves; Passeriformes; Passerellidae. The record is from RNAcentral.